Molecule: long non-coding RNA, 6186 nt
Organism: Myxocyprinus asiaticus (Chinese sucker)
Lineage: Eukaryota; Metazoa; Chordata; Actinopteri; Cypriniformes; Catostomidae
Exons: 2
Source: RefSeq, a predicted model, not a curated record
UGUAAUGAAGCCCACCUGCCCACAUCGCUCGAAAAACUUUUUAUUAAAGAGUCAAAAUUAACUAACUAAAUCACACAAAUUUGCUGGGAAUAAAAUGCCCAAAUACUUAAUGCCCUGUGUGGGCCACUGGAAGGCACCCAGCUGAAAAGCUGUUACUGGGCAGUAUGCUGUCAGAGCCAAAGCUUCGGAUUUAGACCAAUUGACUUUGUAUCCUAAGGAAUUAAUAAUUCUGUGGAGGCAAGGCAUAGAUCUAGUGGGGUUGGAGACAAAUAAUAAAAUACUGUAUCAUCUGCGUAAAGCAAAAGAUUAUGCGCCAUACCUCCCGCCACCACCCCUGGAAAAUCAUCCUCCUUUCUUAUUGCAGCUGGUAAUGGUUCCAGGCAAGACAGAAUAAUGGGGAAAGAGGGCACCAGAGUAAAAUAAUCUGAAAUUAAUCCAUUUGUUUAUACCGCCGCUACCGGGUGUCUAUAAAGUAACUUAAUCCAACCAAUGACAUAACUUGACUUAAUUGGUUAGCCAAAAGUUUUGACAAUAUUUAAACAUCUAGCUGGAUCAGGGAAAUUGGAUGGUAACUCUUACACUCGUUUGGAUCUUUGUCCUUUUUAAGAAUCAGACUGAUCCGGGCUUGUGUCAUGGUUGGCGGAGCUUUCCAUUCUUUAAAGAUUCCGUAUAAACUUCUAACAAAUGUGGAGCCAGUUCUGUAGCAUAAGAUCUAAAAAAUUCAGCGGCAAAGCCAUCUGGCCCCGGAGCCUUGCCUGUAGGCAAGGCCUUAAUUACCUCGCCAAGCUCCUCCAAGGUUAUCUCAGAAUCAAGAUAUUUUUUUGCUCAUUCGUCAGUUUAGGGAGUUCUAAUGGUUCCACAAAGUUCCUAAUAUCUUCAUCAGUGGAUGAAGACAUGGACCUAUAGAGAUCAAGGUAGAACUCUUUAAAGGCAUUAUUAAUAUCAAUGGCUGAGGUAAAUAUUUCACCACCAGCAGAUUUCACUGAGGGAAUGGUAGAAAAAGACUCUCUCUGUUUUACAUAUCUAGCCAGAAGUUUUCCUGCCUUGUCCCCUGACUCAAAAUAUGACUGUCUUGCCCUGAAUAGCCAAAACUCCACCUUCCGUGACAAAAUAGUAUUAUAUCUGUAUUUCAAGCGGCUCAAUUCUCUGAGGCCAUUAGAUAACAUUUGGUGCUUCAGCUCUGCCUCGGCACUUUAAAUAUUCCCUUCCAACUCCACGAGUUCUCGUUCUUUGGAUUUUUUGGUGAAUGAGGCAUACUGUAUGAUCCGACCAUUAAGAACUGCCUUAAGUGCCUCCCAAGCCACGCCCACAGAGGAUACUGAGGACCAGUUGAUCUCCAUAUAAACAUUUAUUUCAGCCUUUAACAUUUGUUGAAAUUCAGGAUUUUGCCAAAGGGAUACAUUAAAGCAACAACUAUAUGAUUUAUUUUUCUCCUUUUGUGGCAACACCUCUAAACUCACAGGGCAUGAUCUGAGACUAAGAUAUUUCCAGAUUAGCAAUCAACAACAGAUGAAAUGAGGGAUUUACAUAUAAAAAAAAAAUCUAUUCUAGAUUAAAUCUUAUGGACUGAUGAAAAAAAAUGUAUAGUCCUUACCAGAUGGGUUCAAAAGUCUCCAAAUAUCUGUAAGACGAAGAUUUUUACACAUCCUGUGAAGCGUCAAUGUUGCUCUAGGGGGCUUGCACACUUUUGCUUCACUAUGAUCAAGGACUGAGUCCAUCAAAAGAUUAAAGUCUCCUCCCAGUAUUAUAUCAUGAGGGGUGCCAGCGGCUUGCAACAUCCCUUCAAGAUCUAUAAAAAUGCAUCAGUGUUAGGUGCAUAAAUAUUAGUCAAAAUCACUUGAAUUGUAGAUGUUUAUUUAUCAAUAUAAUGACUCCCCUGCUCUUAUUUGAGCUAGCACUAAUGAAAACAUGCCCACCCCAUAUCUUCCCAAAUUUUUCAGCUUCCUGCGGGGAAAGAUGCAUUUCUUGAAGAAACACUAUAUCGUAUUUCUUAUGUUUAAGAAAAGAAAUAACCUUCCUUCUUUUUAUGGGGUGCCCCAACCCAUUCACAUUCCACGUGGAGAGAGAUAGUACACUCAUAUUAACAUUUGACAUAUUGACAUAUUAGAAAAAAUAGUUUGUGUGUCAAAACAAAAUUAUGAAGACCACAUUCCAACAUUAGAGCAACAUUCAAACCCCAAACUUCCCCCAGAACAAAAAGAAAAACGUGUGCAUUAACCCCAUGCCAACCGGUGUCAAUCCCUAUAAACACAGUCCAUUCACGCCUACGAGAACCCCCGCGACAACCUUGCCAUCGGAUUGCUCAAAUCCGGUGCUUCUGUACAAAUUUUGUGAGACAGAAUUACAUAACAGAAAAUAAUCUAUAAAACAAACUCCAGCCAAUAGGCAGAACCAGCACAAAAAGAAACAAAAAAUGUGCUCAGUUCCUCGGACGAACAAGUGAAUGUUCAGUGUGUCAGGCACACUCGGCUGCAUCACACAAUGACUUACUCAUUCCAUUGACUUUAUGAAGGACAAUGCUUGUUGUGGGCAUGUAAAUGUUUUACGGCCAUCCUUAGCAUCUAUUCUUAAUUUGCCCAGGAACAUCAGUGCAGAAGCGACCUUCCAUUGAUGUAAGAGUUUCUUGCAUUCCUUGAAUCGAUCAUGUUUCUCUCUUGUCGAAUUCACAAAGUUGUGGAAAGAAAAUGUUGUGGUUCUUCCAAGAAAGCCUUCCUUCACUCCUUGCCUUGCGUAACACAAGAUCUUUAUCGGAUGAUCUCAGAAAUUUGGCCAGAAUUGAUCGGGGCCUGUCUCCCUCAGCGGAUCUCUGAGCCGAGCUCGCUUGAUUUCCAGCUUAUGGCCCGUUAUGUCGAGCAGACUCGGGAAGAGCUCGUCUAGGAAUUUCACCAUAUCUCUGCCUUCUUCAUUCUCAGGAAUUCCAACAAUUCGGACGUUGUUUCGCCGGCUACUAUUCUCAAGGUCUUCCAACUUUUCCAAAAUGCAUUCCAAGUCUAUCUUGGUCACUAGCGGGUUAGCAGCUAAUUCCCUCUCUGAUGACUCCAGAUAAUCGAUCCGUUUCUCGACGUCCGACAAUCUUGUAACCACCUCAGAGAAUUUUGUCUCUAUGGCAGUGAUCAAUCAACAUAUUACAGCAAGAUCCUCCAAGUCAGCAACGACCUUCAUCAGCAUUGCCGACAUGCUCGACAGCUGACGCUGAAUGCCGCCGCACCGUCCAAACUGAGUACCCAGUCUGCGGCCCUGUCCGGGGUAUCAGCUUGAGCACGUUAGGGUUAGGGUUAGGUGUCUUUUAAUGUCUCCAGAGCCCGAGGAUUUUUAAUUCUUUGACACAUUGUCUUCAUAGAAGAGUUAUGGAUCAGGGUGUAUCGAAUCUCACCGGUUUAUGACAUAAAAAGUAUUAAAAACUAGCAAAGUGCGCAGAGCUCUCCAUUCACACGUCCAACCCUCGCAUGGUGCCAUGCAACUCUCCCAGGCAGGUGGUUUUAAUGCUUGUGGCUGAUCGGCGUACAGUUGCAAUCGAAAUUAUUCAACCCCCCAAGACAGUAAGGAUUUACAAGGUAAGCUUUUCUGAUGGCCCAGAAUUUUUUAAACUUCACAUCUAUUUCAGUUGAGUGACACAUUCAAAGUCGUAGUGUGAAUAUAUAUUUCUUAAAAUAUUUUUUAAAAAUACAGCCAUGUCAUAAUUAUUCAACCCCUGUUGCAUGUAGCUGUUUCUUAAAUAUGUAAGGCUACACAAGUAAUUGUUUUAAAACAAAAUUAAGUCAUCAAUCUGCAAUGGCAUUUAUUUAAGUUUUCAAAUGUAAGUUUAGCAUUGUAAGCAAAAAUUUAUUUCUAUGCAAAAAAUGCAAUUACAAAUAAGCUUUCUCAAAAGCUAAUCGAGGAGAUUAUUUCAUUACACAAGAAAGGUCAUGGCUAAAAGUACAUUUCCAAGGCACUUCAAUUUCCAAUAGACAAAGUUGGCAGCAGCAUUCAUACAUUUUUUAAAUAUGGUACAACAGCAACCUUCUUGGCAUGUGAAAGAAAGCAAAACUUCAAGGGAAAUGUUGACUUGAAUAUUCAAGAAGUAAUUAGGAAAGACCUGUGGAGUCCUGGAAGAAGGUUUUAUAGACGUAUGACACUGAAAAUGAGUUUUACACCCAUGGGUCAGCAGUACGUCUGGAGUAAGAUGACAAGGUGAUGAGAACGACACCAUCCCCACAGUCAAGCAUGGAGGUGGGUCAGUCCUGUUAUGGGGGUGUUUUGCGGCUGCAGGAAACAGCUAUCCUGACUAUGUGACUGACACCAUGGAUUCUUUCAGGUAUCUGGUCAUUUUGGCAUGAAAAAUGUGAUGCCUUCAGUGUGUAAAUUGAAGCUCGGUGAUCACUGGACUUUCCAGCAAGACAAUAACACCAAGGAUACAUCCAAGUUGUCCAAAGUCUGGUUCAGGGAUAGGUCGAGGAAUGUCCUUAAAUGGCCCUUUCAGUCAUUAAAAUCCCAUUGCAAACUUUGUUGGGAUUUCAAGGAUGCAGUGGCAGCACAGAAACCAAAGAAUGUCAAUGAGCUGGAAGCUUUUGCUCAUGAGAAAUGUGUAAAAAUUCUAAUAGAGAGGUGUCCGAAGCCUGAGAACACAUACCUGAAACAUUUAUUUGGUGUUAUUAAGGGUAAAGGAUGCUCCACAAAUGAUUGACUUUGGGGGUUGAAUAUUUCUGACACGACAUUUGUGGAGAGAAUUAGUUAUUUUUUAUUUUAACAUUUGGGUAAACCGAACUCUUUGUUCUCAAAAUCACUCAAAUGUGUAUUAAAAACUUACUUUGACUGUUUUUAGUACAGUUUUAGUUGAUGUGUUUUAAUUCACAUCACCAGAAUGUAUUGCUGGUCAGAGGGGUUGAAUAAUUUCGAUUGCAACUGUAUAUGAUAGUAAAUUCCAUGUAAAGAAAUGCUAAAUAUUUCAUUUUUAUUUAGCAUAAAAUUUACUAAAUUCACACACAAAAUCUCACAGGUAAAGUUUUGUUCCAGACUGAUACAAAAUAUGCUUCAGAGGAAGAAUUCACUGAAUUUGCUCAAGUUUUGUGAGGUUUUUUGAAUAAAAUAUUAAAAAGAUAUUCAGUUGUUUUGUUUAAAUGAGAUAUCCACAUAUUUACAGAUAGUAAAUGACAGAAGUUUUAUUGCUAUUUGCCUUUUUAUCGUUAAAAGUUACAGGGAAUUGUUGAUGAGAGAGAAUGAAACAUGCGAGCUCUUUAAACAUCAUGAGCUUGAUAAGUGCACUUCUGUUUGAAUGAGACUUUAUUGAACACACACGGUCUAUUAUUAUGGUAAAAUAACAAAACAAACUGUGAUUGGUCAUUUACAUGUCACUAAUGACUCCUUCACAUGCAAGCCGGCGAUUGUGACAUCACGGCUUACGAAACUAAUCAGUCAAACAGGAAAUAUAUCUGCUGAUGCAGUAGUUAAAUACAGAAUAUUGGCCACUGUAUCGGCCUCAGCGAUAUAUCGGUUGACCAAUACUUGAUGUGUGUUCGGUGUAUCUCUUUUUCCUGGCCUAGAAUGGUGAAAAUGUUGAAGAGUUGUUUUGUUGCCAAGACUUCAACGUGUGUGGCUACACAGAAAAUAAACUUUUAAAAAUAAACCUACUUUGAGAAAUAUUCACUGGAGUAAAAGUGUGACAACUUUCCCCAGCCUCUCAUUUAAAAAUAAUAAUAUACUAUUAGUCUUAAUACAUGGUUUGCUCACCACAUUCUUCUCUACUUUAAACAGGCUGGAAAAAACUACAUGCUUAGAGAAUUUAGCACACGUGAAAGUAAAUUAUCAGAUCUUCAGCAUGUUCCUCCGGCUUUUUACACGGACCCCAACGAGAUCGUGCAACACUUACCACUGAAGCUCACUGAGUGUGAGAAACUCGAGUUCCCAUCUGUGCAGUGACAUGCAACAGGAGCAAAAUCGGACCACACACACACACACACACACACACACACACUCUCUCUCUCUCACUCUCACUAAAGACUCAAUCUCACAGCUGUUUGAAUUGAAUUUGUUGUAACAUCACAUGUGAUAUUGUCAUGUAAACUCUCAUUGUGGAAGUGUUUGUCUUACAGGCACUAAAUGUAAAUUGUGAUAUGAAACUUUUAUACAGAUGACUAUUGUGUGUUGUGCAAUAAUUGACACAAAUGUCUAAAUGUCCAUGGGCAGUUUUUAUUAAAAUCCUUUAAAUGA